Molecule: ribosomal RNA, 247 nt
Filed under: uncultured Comamonadaceae bacterium
Lineage: Bacteria; Pseudomonadati; Pseudomonadota; Betaproteobacteria; Burkholderiales; Comamonadaceae
Description: partial 16S ribosomal RNA
Rfam family: Bacterial small subunit ribosomal RNA
Source: RNAcentral
GUAGGGUGCAAGCGUUAAUCGGAAUUACUGGGCGUAAAGCGUGCGCAGGCGGUUGUGCAAGACAGGUGUGAAAUCCCCGGGCUUAACCUGGGAACUGCACUUGUGACUGCACGGCUGGAGUACGGCAGAGGGGGAUGGAAUUCCGCGUGUAGCAGUGAAAUGCGUAGAUAUGCGGAGGAACACCGAUGGCGAAGGCAAUCCCCUGGGCCUGUACUGACGCUCAUGCACGAAAGCGUGGGGAGCAAAC